GGAUUUAGCUUUGCAAUAUUUCUGUUAGAAUAUAAACUUGAAAAUUCUGAAAGUUCUCCACUUCUGUGGGUACUCAAGUUUUCUUCCCACAUGAUGUGCAUGUUAGAUUAAUUUCCAAUUCUAAAUUAGUCUAUAUUGACAUGUUCGAGCAUGCCAUGUGAUGCUUGGCAAAUGUCUGCCAUGUAUGCAGUAAACCAGGAUAGGUUAUGAUCCCUUGCAUUCCCAAAUUGGAUUUAGUGUGUUUGAUAAUGGAUGGAUAGAUUAAUGCAAUAAUGUGUGAUCAACCAUAAAGGAUACUUUUUUUUCUUUUUAGAUGAAUUCCAGCAAAAGAAAUAAGAGAAAAAUAUGCUUUAGGGAUUGUUACUCUUUUUCCUUCUCUUAAGGAUCCCUUUUCUACAAAAGGAUAUGAACAUUUUUAUGAUACAGAGAGCUGUACUGGUUACCUUGCUUGGCACCUAAAAAUGGUGCAGUGCAAGACUUUGUUUCAAAGCAAGGAAGUAAAUAAAAUAAAACUGGAGGUCCAAGUUCAGUGUGAGAAAUUCUUCAUCCAGAAGAACAGCUAACUGGAGACAAUUGCAGAGAAGCAGUAUCUUUCCUGACUCAUUGUUCAGAUAAAGCACUCAUUUAUGAGAAAAUGAGAAAAACAUUUCAAUACCACCAGCAACUGGUGCAUGACCCAGAGAAAAUGAUAUCUGUACUUUCCGUCUUUCCAAGAUUUUUGGAUACAAAAGGCUUGAUAUGUUAUAAGUAAUAAAAAUGAAAACAAUGAGCUGUAGAAUAACCUUUUAAAAUUUUACUUAUCUAUCAGUUUUAUACAUAUACUCUGUAGUCAGUUGAUUUUUUUUUCUGUGUAACUUUUUAUUUUAGUCAGUGUCAUCUUGAAAGCAUAUGGUGUGAAAUAAUUGUGAAAUGUAAAAUUUGAUUGAAAAUUUGUAAAUCUCUAAGUUAUACGUAUUCUGUUUUAAUCUGUUAAAGGUAAAUCAAGAUUUCAGUCUUUUAUUUGGCUCUGACACAUCUUCCAAAUUGCUUGAGAAGUGGGAUACCUGCUUUAAGUUUAAGAUUAUUAAAGAAGCAAGAUCUCUGACAGGUCAGAUGGCUGAUUUGAAUAUUCUGCUGAAGUGUGCAGAAUCUACCUUUGAUUGUGAAGAUCAUGAAUCAUCAGGGUUUAUUGGUUGGGAUGCAGACAUGGCCUCAAUUUUGUUAUUAGUCUAUCUUUUACCACCAGCA
This is a long non-coding RNA of Erpetoichthys calabaricus (reedfish), 1227 nucleotides long. RefSeq lists it as uncharacterized. The transcript has 3 exons. Lineage: Eukaryota; Metazoa; Chordata; Cladistia; Polypteriformes; Polypteridae. The record is from RefSeq and is a predicted model, not a curated record.